GGGUGAGUAACGCGUAAUCAACCUGCCCUGCAAUGGGGGACAACAGUUGGAAACGACUGCUAAUACCGCAUACGACCUAACUUCGGCAUCGAGGAUAGGUGAAAGGUGGCCUCUAUUUAUAAGCUAUCGUUGCAGGAGGGGAUUGCGUCUGAUUAGCUAGUUGGAGGGGUAACGGCCCACCAAGGCAAUGAUCAGUAGCCGGUCUGAGAGGAUGAACGGCCACAUUGGGACUGAGACACGGCCCAAACUCCUACGGGAGGCAGCAGUGGGGAAUCUUCCGCAAUGGACGAAAGUCUGACGGAGCAACGCCGCGUGAGUGAUGAAGGUCUUCGGAUUGUAAAGCUCUGUUAAUCGGGACGAAAGAGCGCUGUGUGAAUAAUGCAGUGAAGUGACGGUACCGGAAUAGAAAGCCACGGCUAACUACGUGCCAGCAGCCGCGGUAAUACGUAGGUGGCAAGCGUUGUCCGGAAUUAUUGGGCGUAAAGCGCGCGCAGGCGGAUCUGCCAGUCAGUCUUAAAAGUUUGGGGCUUAACCCCGUGAUGGGAUUGAAACUACAGAUCUAGAGUAUCGGAGAGGAAAGUGGAAUUCCUAGUGUAGCGGUGAAAUGCGUAGAUAUUAGG
Molecule: ribosomal RNA, 620 nt
Filed under: uncultured bacterium
Lineage: Bacteria
Description: bacterial SSU rRNA
Rfam family: Bacterial small subunit ribosomal RNA
Source: RNAcentral